This 253-nucleotide ribosomal RNA is filed under the name uncultured bacterium. RNAcentral describes it as "partial 16S ribosomal RNA". It matches the Rfam family "Bacterial small subunit ribosomal RNA", at positions 524 to 776 of the family's 1533-position model. The record is from RNAcentral.
UACGGAAGGUCCAAGCGUUAAUCGGAAUUACUGGGCGUAAAGCGCGCGUAGGUGGUUUAUUAAGUUGGGUGUGAAAUCCCCGGGCUCAACCUGGGAACUGCAUCCAAAACUGAUUCACUAGAGUACGAUAGAGGGAGGUAGAAUUCACAGUGUAGCGGUGGAAUGCGUAGAUAUUGUGAAGAAUACCAAUGGCGAAGGCAGCCUCCUGGAUCUGUACUGACACUGAGGUGCGAAAGCGUGGGUAGCGAACAGG